AGGAAAUCCAAAAGUCCAGUAUGAUAGAAUUCUGAACAAACAGCCCUCAUGGUGUUGAUGAUCUUACUCUGCCUCUCACCUGAGUGACGCUUCUGGACCCACCGAGGAUGAAGAGAGCCACCUCCCCUGCUGCAGCAGCCCUUCCUCGGUCUCUCUGGGCCUGUAUGUGGCUUCUUCAGCAUUUUGACACUGAACCUGUUCAACUUGCUAAAGCUCAGUCCCUCCCAGGAUACAAGUGGUCAUAAAAACAGUGUUAAGAAAAGUCAUAAAGGAGAAGGAUGUAUUCCUGAGAGAAGCAUGAGGAGAAGAAGCAGCAUGAGACCACAAGCUGCACGGUGCCAUAGAGGAGGUAAAAAAUUUGCUGAUGACUGAGAUGCAUCACUAUGACGUGCUAUGGAAAUGGUAAAGAAUGUAAUGGUAGCACAAGAGACAGUAAGAGAAUGCAGACUGUGAGGUGCUGUGGAAGAGACAAAAGACAUGAAUGAGAAGGACAUACUCCUGUGAGAAGCACAAGAAGAGGUAGCAUGAGAAUGCCUGCUGUGAGGCAUUGAG
This is a non-coding RNA of Manis javanica (Malayan pangolin), 552 nucleotides long. NCBI's taxonomy places the organism in Eukaryota, Metazoa, Chordata, Mammalia, Pholidota, Manidae. The record is from RefSeq and is a predicted model, not a curated record.